RNAcentral lists this ribosomal RNA (254 nucleotides) under uncultured bacterium. Its description in RNAcentral is "partial 16S ribosomal RNA". It matches the Rfam family "Bacterial small subunit ribosomal RNA", at positions 524 to 776 of the family's 1533-position model. The record is from RNAcentral.
UACGGGGGGAGCAAGCGUUGUUCGGAUUUACUGGGCGUAAAGGGCGCGUAGGCGGCCAGCGCAAGUCAGUUGUGAAAUCUCCGGGCUUAACUCGGAAAGGUCAACUGAUACUGCGCGGCUAGAGUGCGGAAGGGGCAACUGGAAUUCUCGGUGUAGCGGUGAAAUGCGUAGAUAUCGAGAGGAACACCUGCGGCGAAGGCGGGUUGCUGGGCCGACACUGACGCUGAUGCGCGAAAGCGUGGGGAGCAAACAGG